Molecule: ribosomal RNA, 416 nt
Filed under: uncultured bacterium
Lineage: Bacteria
Description: bacterial SSU rRNA
Rfam family: Bacterial small subunit ribosomal RNA
Source: RNAcentral
UCGAGGAUCUUCGGCAAUGGGCGCAAGCCUGACCGAGCGACGCCGCGUGUGCGAUGAAGGCCUUCGGGUUGUAAAGCACUGUCGAGGGGGAGGAAAGCCGGGUAACCGGCCUGACCUAUCCCUGGAGGAAGCACGGGCUAAGUUCGUGCCAGCAGCCGCGGUAAGACGAACCGUGCGAACGUUGUUCGGAAUCACUGGGCUUAAAGGGCGCGUAGGCGGCCGCUCAAGUCGGGGGUGAAAUCGUUCCGCUUAACGGGACAAGAGCUUUCGAUACUGGGCGGCUGGAGGGAGGUAGGGGUGCGCGGAACUUCCGGUGGAGCGGUGAAAUGCGUAGAUAUCGGAAGGAACGCCGGUGGCGAAAGCGGCGCACUGGACCUUCACUGACGCUGAGGCGCGAAAGCCAGGGGAGCGAACGG